This 440-nucleotide long non-coding RNA is filed under the name Oryza sativa Japonica Group (Japanese rice). RNAcentral's name for it is "partial lncRNA55980". Lineage: Eukaryota; Viridiplantae; Streptophyta; Magnoliopsida; Poales; Poaceae. The record is from RNAcentral.
UUGUAACAAAAAUAAUAUAUUGGAGUUAAAUAAAUAUGAAAGAAUUAUUUCUCAGGGUUUUUGAAGUACACUUACAUUUGGGUGUUACCUAUAAUCUAGUAUCCUUGGGUGUAAUGCUAUUCUUUCUCAUUGAAUUGUGUGGUGAGGAUUAGAUGUUAGGGGAGGGAAAAAAAGGGGGGAGGGGGGGAUCAGUGCCUGCGUGGGCUGUGAAAACUAAUUACAAUGUGAAAAUUUGCUGUGUCUGUCUGUCGGUGUCCUGUUCUCUCCAGGUGCUAGCUCCUGCCGUAAUUCAACGUCAUGACCUGGUUCGUGCUCAGCGAGCCGGGGGCCGGCAAAACCGCUGCAGCCUCUGCCGGCGGGGUGCGCCAGAUGGUGUCGCGGACGUGUUGCAGUGUCAUCUCCGGAGGAAGGCGCUGCCCUCGACAGGUAAUCUCUAACUG